RNAcentral lists this transfer RNA (76 nucleotides) under Agitococcus sp. Its description in RNAcentral is "tRNA-Ala". It matches the Rfam family "tRNA". Rfam says of the family: Transfer RNA (tRNA) molecules are approximately 80 nucleotides in length. Their secondary structure includes four short double-helical elements and three loops (D, anti-codon, and T loops). Further hydrogen bonds mediate the characteristic L-shaped molecular structure. tRNAs have two regions of fundamental functional importance: the anti-codon, which is responsible for specific mRNA codon recognition, and the 3' end, to which the tRNAs corresponding amino acid is attached (by aminoacyl-tRNA synthetases). tRNAs cope with the degeneracy of the genetic code in two manners: having more than one tRNA (with a specific anti-codon) for a particular amino acid; and 'wobble' base-pairing, i.e. permitting non-standard base-pairing at the 3rd anti-codon position. The record is from RNAcentral. Lineage: Bacteria; Pseudomonadati; Pseudomonadota; Gammaproteobacteria; Moraxellales; Moraxellaceae.
GGGGAAUUAGCUCAGUAGGCAGAGCGGCUGUUUUGCAAGCAGUAGGUCGUCGAUUCGAUUUCGACAUUCUCCACCA